RNAcentral lists this ribosomal RNA (450 nucleotides) under uncultured bacterium. Its description in RNAcentral is "partial 16S ribosomal RNA". It matches the Rfam family "Bacterial small subunit ribosomal RNA", at positions 354 to 796 of the family's 1533-position model. The record is from RNAcentral.
GUGGGGAAUCUUCCGCAAUGGACGAAAGUCUGACGGAGCAACGCCGCGUGAGUGAAGAAGGUUUUCGGAUCGUAAAGCUCUUUCGUUAGGGACGAACGUGCUCUUUGUGAAUAAUGAGGAGUAAUGACGGUACCUAAAUAAGAAGCCACGGCUAACUACGUGCCAGCAGCCGCGGUAAUACGUAGGUGGCAAGCGUUGUCCGGAAGUAUUGGGCGUAAAGCGCGCGCAGGCGGGAUAUCAAGUCUGUCUUAAAAGUGCGAGGCUCAACCUCGUGAGGGGACAGAAACUGGUAUUCUUGAGUGUCGGAGAGGAAAGUGGAAUUCCAAGUGUAGCGGUGAAAUGCGUAGAGAUUUGGAAGAACACCAGUGGCGAAGGCGACUUUCUGGACGAUGUCUGACGCUGAGGCGCGAAAGCUAGGGGAGCGAACGGGAUUAGAUACCCGAGUAGUCC